Molecule: ribosomal RNA, 877 nt
Filed under: Hermatomyces thailandicus
Lineage: Eukaryota; Fungi; Ascomycota; Dothideomycetes; Pleosporales; Hermatomycetaceae
Description: eukaryotic LSU rRNA
Rfam family: Eukaryotic large subunit ribosomal RNA
Source: RNAcentral
CAACAGGGAUUGCCCUAGUAACGGCGAGUGAAGCGGCAAGAGCUCAAAUUUGAAAUCUGGCUCCUUUGGAGUCCGAGUUGUAAUUUGUAGAGGGUGCUUUGGUGUCGGCUAUGGCCUAAGUUCCUUGGAACAGGACGUCACAGAGGGUGAGAACCCCGUAUGUGGCUGCUAGCCUUCACCAUGUAAAGCCCCUUCGACGAGUCGAGUUGUUUGGGAAUGCAGCUCUAAAUGGGAGGUAAAUUUCUUCUAAAGCUAAAUAUUGGCCAGAGACCGAUAGCGCACAAGUAGAGUGAUCGAAAGAUGAAAAGCACUUUGGAAAGAGAGUCAAAAAGCACGUGAAAUUGUUGAAAGGGAAGCGCUUGCAGCCAGACUUGCUCGUAGUUGCUCAUCCGAGCUUUUGCUCGGUGCACUCUUCUGCGAGCAGGCCAGCAUCAGUCCGGGCGGUUGGAUAAAGGCUCUGGGAAUGUAGCUCUCUUCGGGGAGUGUUAUAGCCCAGGGUGUCAUGCAACCAGUCUGGACUGAGGUCCGCGCAUCUGCUAGGAUGCUGGCGUAAUGGCUGUAAGCGGCCCGUCUUGAAACACGGACCAAGGAGUCUAACAUCUAUGCGAGUGUUUGGGUGUCAAGCCCGGGCGCGUAAUGAAAGUGAACGGAGGUGGGAACCCUUCGGGGCGCACCAUCGACCGAUCCUGAUGUCUUCGGAUGGAUUUGAGUAAGAGCAUAGCUGUUGGGACCCGAAAGAUGGUGAACUAUGCCUGAAUAGGGUGAAGCCAGAGGAAACUCUGGUGGAGGCUCGCAGCGGUUCUGACGUGCAAAUCGAUCGUCAAAUUUGGGCAUAGGGGCGAAAGACUAAUCGAACUAUCUAGUAGCUGGUUCUGCG